UUAAUUUACGGUUUCGCAAGAAUUAAUAGGGAAGACGGUUAGAGUCCGUCACAACAGCCAUUACUGUAUUUAGUUUAAAGAAAGCAUUAUGUCACUGCUUUUGCGGGAAGACGCUUUGUAAUAUAUUGCUAUAAGUCAGGAGACCUGCCGUAUCUUAU
This 158-nucleotide non-coding RNA is filed under the name uncultured Ruminococcus sp. The record is from RNAcentral. Lineage: Bacteria; Bacillati; Bacillota; Clostridia; Eubacteriales; Oscillospiraceae.